AGAGUUUGAUCCUGGCUCAGGACGAACGCUGGCGGCGUGCUUAACACAUGCAAGUCGAACGAUGAAGCCCUUCGGGGUGGAUUAGUGGCGAACGGGUGAGUAACACGUGGGCAAUCUGCCCUUCACUCUGGGACAAGCCCUGGAAACGGGGUCUAAUACCGGAUACCACCUCCUGAGGCAUCUCGGGGGGUUGAAAGCUCCGGCGGUGAAGGAUGAGCCCGCGGCCUAUCAGCUUGUUGGUGGGGUGAUGGCCUACCAAGGCGACGACGGGUAGCCGGCCUGAGAGGGCGACCGGCCACACUGGGACUGAGACACGGCCCAGACUCCUACGGGAGGCAGCAGUGGGGAAUAUUGCACAAUGGGCGAAAGCCUGAUGCAGCGACGCCGCGUGAGGGAUGACGGCCUUCGGGUUGUAAACCUCUUUCAGCAGGGAAGAAGCGAAAGUGACGGUACCUGCAGAAGAAGCGCCGGCUAACUACGUGCCAGCAGCCGCGGUAAUACGUAGGGCGCAAGCGUUGUCCGGAAUUAUUGGGCGUAAAGAGCUCGUAGGCGGCUUGUCACGUCGGUUGUGAAAGCCCGGGGCUUAACCCCGGGUCUGCAGUCGAUACGGGCUAGCUAGAGUGUGGUAGGGGAGAUCGGAAUUCCUGGUGUAGCGGUGAAAUGCGCAGAUAUCAGGAGGAACACCGGUGGCGAAGGCGGAUCUCUGGGCCAUUACUGACGCUGAGGAGCGAAAGCGUGGGGAGCGAACAGGAUUAGAUACCCUGGUAGUCCACGCCGUAAACGUUGGGAACUAGGUGUUGGCGACAUUCCACGUCGUCGGUGCCGCAGCUAACGCAUUAAGUUCCCCGCCUGGGGAGUACGGCCGCAAGGCUAAAACUCAAAGGAAUUGACGG
This 893-nucleotide ribosomal RNA is filed under the name uncultured soil bacterium. RNAcentral describes it as "bacterial SSU rRNA". It matches the Rfam family "Bacterial small subunit ribosomal RNA", at positions 8 to 916 of the family's 1533-position model. The record is from RNAcentral.